CCUACGGGAGGCAGCAGUGGGGAAUAUUGGGCAAUGGGCGCAAGCCUGACCCAGCAACGCCGCGUGAAGGAAGAAGGCUUUCGGGUUGUAAACUUCUUUUGUCAGGGACGAAGCAAGUGACGGUACCUGACGAAUAAGCCACGGCUAACUACGUGCCAGCAGCCGCGGUAAUACGUAGGUGGCAAGCGUUAUCCGGAUUUACUGGGUGUAAAGGGCGUGUAGGCGGGACUGCAAGUCAGAUGUGAAAACCACGGGCACAACCUGUGGCCUGCAUUUGAAACUGUAGUUCUGGAGUACGGGAGAGGAAGACGGAAGUCCUGGUGUAGCGGGGAAAUGCGGAGAUAUAAGGAGGAACACCAGGGGCGAGGGAGGUCGGCUGGACAGCAACUGACGCUGAGGCGCGAAAGCGUGGGGAGCAAAAAGGAUUAGAUACCCGAGUAGUA
This 443-nucleotide ribosomal RNA is filed under the name uncultured bacterium. Its description in RNAcentral is "partial 16S ribosomal RNA". It matches the Rfam family "Bacterial small subunit ribosomal RNA", at positions 338 to 795 of the family's 1533-position model. The record is from RNAcentral.